Molecule: long non-coding RNA, 886 nt
Organism: Myiozetetes cayanensis
Lineage: Eukaryota; Metazoa; Chordata; Aves; Passeriformes; Tyrannidae
Exons: 3
Source: RefSeq, a predicted model, not a curated record
GCCACUGCCGGCCACCGGCGGUGAUCUCGGGCACGGAGCGGAGCUGCCCCCGGCAGCAGCUGCCGAGGCCCAGGGCGAAUAUAUGAAUGCAGAGCUAAAUGCACAAGUAAGGCAAUAACCCAAAGCUGCAGAGAGGGUCGCUGUGGUUGGGACUGGCCUCUGUCAGGGACAAGUGGGAGCUACAGCAGCCCUUGGCCUGGGUUGAAGACAGUCUGUCUGGCCAACUCACAGUGACUUGCUGCAGGCAAGGACUGCGUGGGAAGAUGUGUGGAGCCUGGAAGGGAGCCACGUGUGAUCAGACGGCUGCGAUAAAGGAUACAGGUGCAUCAGAAAAGAUGCAGCAAGUUGUUGUGGAGUGUGCCAGUCGGUCUCUGGAGAAGUGCAGUACCGAGCAUAACACUGAAGCUCAUUUAAACAGGAUGACUGUUUCUUCAUAAUGUUUUCCUAUUAAACAUUAUUUUGGACUUAAGGAAAAUUUAUCAAAAAUGUUGGUGUGCAAGUAGUUCUAUAGGUUCAAGUUCUGUGGACUCUGUUUAAGUUCUUUGCUCUAGAAAGAGAACUUGAAUAGUAAAGGUAAGUUCUUAGUGGUCUCCCUUGCAGGAUUUUGACAGGGAAUAUAUUUAAUGUAUUCCUACCUGGCAGUGCACCGUGGGAAGGAAUUCUGCAGCUGUGUGACUUCAUCCUCUCCUGCCUGUGUCCUUUUCUCCUCAAGGGUUCUCAGAACCAUGGACUGUUUCUCAGACUGAUCUCGUGAUUCAGUUGUGUGCUAAGGGCACAAAGCCUGGUGCCUUCAGCCUUCCUGAGGAAGCAGACCUUGGCCUCCAAGGGCAGCGGCAGGGAUUUCAUUGGCAUGGUUGUUUUUACUGGGAGUUGGGGGGGACACACA